AUUGAACGCUGGCGGAAUGCUUUACACAUGCAAGUCGAACGGCAGCACGGGUGCUUGCACCUGGUGGCGAGUGGCGAACGGGUGAGUAAUACAUCGGAAUCUACCUUUUCGUGGGGGAUAACGUAGGGAAACUUACGCUAAUACCGCAUACGACCUACGGGUGAAAGUGGGGGACCGCAAGGCCUCACGCGAUUAGAUGA
This 200-nucleotide ribosomal RNA is filed under the name uncultured bacterium. RNAcentral describes it as "partial 16S ribosomal RNA". It matches the Rfam family "Bacterial small subunit ribosomal RNA", at positions 30 to 228 of the family's 1533-position model. The record is from RNAcentral.